GAACGAGACCUUUGGGUCUAGUGGCGCACGGGGUGCGUAACGCGUGGGAAUCUACCCUUUGCUACGGAAUAAUUCAGAGAAAUUUGUGCUUAAUACCGUAUGAUGUCGAAAGACCAAAGAUUUAUCGGCAAAGGACGAGCCCGCGUAGGAUUAGCUAGUUGGUGUGGUAAAGGCGCACCAAGGCGACGAUCCUUAGCUGGUCUGACAGGAUGAUCAGCCCCUGGGACUGAGACCCGGCCCAGACUCCUACGGGAGGCAGCAGUGGGGAAUAUUGGACAAUGGGCGAAAGCCUGAUCCAGCAAUGCCGCGUGAGUGAUGAAGGGUUUCGGCUCGUAAAACUCUGUUAUUAGGGAAGAACAAAUGUGUAAGUAACUGUGCACGUCUUGACGGUACGUAUC
Molecule: ribosomal RNA, 398 nt
Filed under: uncultured bacterium
Lineage: Bacteria
Description: bacterial SSU rRNA
Rfam family: Bacterial small subunit ribosomal RNA
Source: RNAcentral